UGGAUCCAGACUUUGAUUAUGGCUCAGGAUGAACGCUAGCUACAGGCUUAACACAUGCAAGUCGAGGGGAAACGAUAUUGGAAGCUUGCUUCCGACAGGCGUCGACCGGCGCACGGGUGAGUAACGCGUAUCCAACCUGCCCACCACUUGGGGAUAACCUUGCGAAAGUAAGACUAAUACCCAAUGAUAUCUCUAGAAGACAUCUGAAAGAGAUUAAAGAUUUAUCGGUGAUGGAUGGGGAUGCGUCUGAUUAGCUUGUUGGCGGGGUAACGGCCCACCAAGGCGACGAUCAGUAGGGGUUCUGAGAGGAAGGUCCCCCACAUUGGAACUGAGACACGGUCCAAACUCCUACGGGAGGCAGCAGUGAGGAAUAUUGGUCAAUGGGCGAGAGCCUGAACCAGCCAAGUAGCGUGCAGGAUGACGGCCCUAUGGGUUGUAAACUGCUUUUAUAAGGGAAUAAAGUGAGCCUCGUGAGGCUUUUUGCAUGUACCUUAUGAAUAAGGACCGGCUAACUCCGUGCCAGCAGCCGCGGUAAUACGGAAGGUCCGGGCGUUAUCCGGAUUUAUU
This 567-nucleotide ribosomal RNA is filed under the name uncultured Bacteroidota bacterium. RNAcentral's name for it is "bacterial SSU rRNA". It matches the Rfam family "Bacterial small subunit ribosomal RNA", at positions 1 to 555 of the family's 1533-position model. The record is from RNAcentral. Lineage: Bacteria; Pseudomonadati; Bacteroidota.